Molecule: ribosomal RNA, 465 nt
Filed under: Vreelandella stevensii
Lineage: Bacteria; Pseudomonadati; Pseudomonadota; Gammaproteobacteria; Oceanospirillales; Halomonadaceae
Description: partial 16S ribosomal RNA
Rfam family: Bacterial small subunit ribosomal RNA
Source: RNAcentral
CCUACGGGUGGCAGCAGUGGGGAAUAUUGGACAAUGGGGGGAACCCUGAUCCAGCCAUGCCGCGUGUGUGAAGAAGGCCCUCGGGUUGUAAAGCACUUUCAGUGAGGAAGAACGCCUGGUGGUUAAUACCCAUCAGGAAAGACAUCACUCACAGAAGAAGCACCGGCUAACUCCGUGCCAGCAGCCGCGGUAAUACGGAGGGUGCGAGCGUUAAUGGGAAUUACUGGGCGUAAAGCGCGCGUAGGUGGCUUGAUAAGCCGGUUGUGAAAGCCCCGGGCUCAACCUGGGAACGGCAUCCGGAACUGUCAAGCUAGAGUGCAGGAGAGGAAGGUAGAAUUCCCGGUGUAGCGGUGAAAUGCGUAGAGAUCGGGAGGAAUACCAGUGGCGAAGGCGGCCUUCUGGACUGACACUGACACUGAGGUGCGAAAGCGUGGGUAGCAAACAGGAUUAGAUACCCUAGUAGUC